Molecule: ribosomal RNA, 460 nt
Filed under: uncultured bacterium
Lineage: Bacteria
Description: partial 16S ribosomal RNA
Rfam family: Bacterial small subunit ribosomal RNA
Source: RNAcentral
CCUACGGGAGGCAGCAGUGAGGAAUAUUGGUCAAUGGGCGCGAGCCUGAACCAGCCAAGUAGCGUGAAGGAUGACUGCCCUACGGGUUGUAAACUUCUUUUAUAAAGGAAUAAAGUGAGGCACGUGUGCCUUUUUGUAUGUACCAUAUGAAUAAGGAUCGGCUAACUCCGUGCCAUCAGCCGCGGUAAUAAGGAGGAUCCGAGCGUUAUCCGGAUUUCUUGGGUUUAAAGGGAGCGUAGGUGGAUUGUUAAGUCAGUUGUGAAAGUUUGCGGCUCAACCGUAAAAUUGCAGUUGAAACUGGCAGUCUUGAGUACAGUAGAGGUGGGCGGAAUUCGUGGUGUAGCGGUGAAAUGCUUAGAUAUCACGAAGAACUCCGAUUGCGAAGGCAGCUCACUGGACUGCAACUGACACUGAUGCUCGAAAGUGUGGGUAUCAAACAGGAUUAGAUACCCGUGUAGUC